This 440-nucleotide ribosomal RNA is filed under the name uncultured bacterium. RNAcentral's name for it is "partial 16S ribosomal RNA". It matches the Rfam family "Bacterial small subunit ribosomal RNA", at positions 338 to 795 of the family's 1533-position model. The record is from RNAcentral.
CCUACGGGGUGCAGCAGUGGGGAAUAUUGGACAAUGGGGGAAACCCUGAUCCAGCGACGCCGCGUGAGUGAAGAAGUAUUUCGUUACGUAAAGCUCUAUCAGCAGGAAAGAAAAUGACGGUACCUGACUAAGAAGCCCCGGCUAACUACGUGCCAGCAGCCGCGGUAAUACGUAGGGGGCAAGCGUUAUCCGGAUUUACUGGGUGGAAAGGGAGCGUAGACGGCAGCGCAAGUCUGGAGUGAAAUGCCGGGGCACAACCCCGGAACUGCUCUGGAAACUGUGAAGCUGGAGUGCAGGAGAGGUAAGCGGAAUUCCUGGUGGAGCGGUGAAAUGCGUAGAUAUCAGGAGGAACACCGGCGGCGAAGGCGGCUUACUGGACUGUAACUGACGUUGAGGCUCGAAGGCGUGGGGAGCAAACAGGAUUAGAUACCCCGGUAGUC